GCGAGACAUGUUGUCCGCCGAGCGACAGCGACCGAUAAACUGACCCAGGACCGUGCCGGGCGCAGCUCCCGGCCGUCCGCCAAAUGAUCAGCCAGCAGCCGCUGCAACCCCAGGGAG
RNAcentral lists this small RNA (117 nucleotides) under Streptomyces sp. Ncost-T10-10d. RNAcentral's name for it is "Streptomyces-metK RNA". It matches the Rfam family "Streptomyces-metK RNA". The record is from Rfam by way of RNAcentral. Lineage: Bacteria; Bacillati; Actinomycetota; Actinomycetes; Kitasatosporales; Streptomycetaceae.